This 853-nucleotide ribosomal RNA is filed under the name Streptomyces sp. NRS32. Its description in RNAcentral is "bacterial SSU rRNA". It matches the Rfam family "Bacterial small subunit ribosomal RNA", at positions 61 to 926 of the family's 1533-position model. The record is from RNAcentral. Lineage: Bacteria; Bacillati; Actinomycetota; Actinomycetes; Kitasatosporales; Streptomycetaceae.
GUCGAACGAUGAACCGGUUUCGGCCGGGGAUUAGUGGCGAACGGGUGAGUAACACGUGGGCAAUCUGCCCUGCACUCUGGGAUAAGCCCGGGAAACUGGGUCUAAUACCGGAUACGACACAUGAGCGCAUGCUCGUGUGUGGAAAGUUCCGGCGGUGCAGGAUGAGCCCGCGGCCUAUCAGUUUGUUGGUGGGGUAGUGGCCUACCAAGACGACGACGGGUAGCCGGCCUGAGAGGGUGACCGGCCACACUGGGACUGAGACACGGCCCAGACUCCUACGGGAGGCAGCAGUGGGGAAUAUUGCACAAUGGGCGAAAGCCUGAUGCAGCGACGCCGCGUGAGGGAUGACGGCCUUCGGGUUGUAAACCUCUUUCAGCAGGGAAGAAGCGAAAGUGACGGUACCUGCAGAAGAAGCACCGGCUAACUACGUGCCAGCAGCCGCGGUAAUACGUAGGGUGCAAGCGUUGUCCGGAAUUAUUGGGCGUAAAGAGCUCGUAGGCGGCCUGUCGCGUCGAUUGUGAAAGCCCAGGGCUUAACCCUGGGUCUGCAGUCGAUACGGGCAGGCUAGAGUUCGGUAGGGGAGAUCGGAAUUCCUGGUGUAGCGGUGAAAUGCGCAGAUAUCAGGAGGAACACCGGUGGCGAAAGGCGGAUCUCUGGGCCGAUACUGACGCUGAGGAGCGAAAGCGUGGGGAGCGAACAGGAUUAGAUACCCUGGUAGUCCACGCCGUAAACGGUGGGCACUAGGUGUGGGCAACAUUCCACGUUGUCCGUGCCGCAGCUAACGCAUUAAGUGCCCCGCCUGGGGGAGUACGGCCGCAAGGCUAAAACUCAAAGGAAUUGACGGGGCCCGCAC